UAAGGGCGCACGGUGGAUGCCUUGGCACUAGAAGCCGAUGAAGGACGUUACUAACGACGAUAUGCUUUGGGGAGCUGUAAGUAAGCUUUGAUCCAGAGAUUUCCGAAUGGGGAAACCCAGCAUGAGUUAUGUCAUGUUAUCGAUAUGUGAAUACAUAGCAUAUCAGAAGGCACACCCGGAGAACUGAAACAUCUUAGUACCCGGAGGAAGAGAAAGAAAAUUCGAUUCCCUUAGUAGCGGCGAGCGAAACGGGAAGAGCCCAAACCAACAAGCUUGCUUGUUGGGGUUGUAGGACACUCUAUACGGAGUUACAAAGGACGACAUUAGACGAAUCAUCUGGAAAGAUGAAUCAAAGAAGGUAAUAAUCCUGUAGUCGAAAAUGUUGUCUCUCUUGAGUGGAUCCUGAGUACGACGGAGCACGUGAAAUUCCGUCGGAAUCUGGGAGGACCAUCUCCUAAGGCUAAAUACUCUCUAGUGACCGAUAGUGAACCAGUACCGUGAGGGAA
Molecule: ribosomal RNA, 506 nt
Filed under: Staphylococcus aureus
Lineage: Bacteria; Bacillati; Bacillota; Bacilli; Caryophanales; Staphylococcaceae
Description: partial 23S ribosomal RNA
Rfam family: Bacterial large subunit ribosomal RNA
Source: RNAcentral